Molecule: ribosomal RNA, 782 nt
Filed under: Streptomyces sp.
Lineage: Bacteria; Bacillati; Actinomycetota; Actinomycetes; Kitasatosporales; Streptomycetaceae
Description: bacterial SSU rRNA
Rfam family: Bacterial small subunit ribosomal RNA
Source: RNAcentral
UAGUGGCGAACGGGUGAGUAACACGUGGGCAAUCUGCCCUGCACUCUGGGACAAGCCCUGGAAACGGGGUCUAAUACCGGAUACUGACCAUCGAGGGCAUCCUUUGAUGGUCGAAAGCUCCGGCGGUGCAGGAUGAGCCCGCGGCCUAUCAGCUUGUUGGUGAGGUAAUGGCUCACCAAGGCGACGACGGGUAGCCGGCCUGAGAGGGCGACCGGCCACACUGGGACUGAGACACGGCCCAGACUCCUACGGGAGGCAGCAGUGGGGAAUAUUGCACAAUGGGCGAAAGCCUGAUGCAGCGACGCCGCGUGAGGGAUGACGGCCUUCGGGUUGUAAACCUCUUUCAGCAGGGAAGAAGCGAAAGUGACGGUACCUGCAGAAGAAGCGCCGGCUAACUACGUGCCAGCAGCCGCGGUAAUACGUAGGGCGCGAGCGUUGUCCGGAAUUAUUGGGCGUAAAGAGCUCGUAGGCGGCUUGUCACGUCGGUUGUGAAAGCCCGGGGCUUAACCCCGGGUCUGCAGUCGAUACGGGCAGGCUAGAGUUCGGUAGGGGAGAUCGGAAUUCCUGGUGUAGCGGUGAAAUGCGCAGAUAUCAGGAGGAACACCGGUGGCGAAGGCGGAUCUCUGGGCCGAUACUGACGCUGAGGAGCGAAAGCGUGGGGAGCGAACAGGAUUAGAUACCCUGGUAGUCCACGCCGUAAACGGUGGGCACUAGGUGUGGGCAACAUUCCACGUUGUCCGUGCCGCAGCUAACGCAUUAAGUGCCCCGCCUGGGGAGUACGG